CCCUUAGAUGUUCUGGGCCGCACGCGCGCUACACUGAAGGGAGCAACGAGCACAACCUUGUCCGAAAGGUCUGGGUAAACUCUGAAACCCCUUCGUGAUGGGGAUAGAUUAUUGCAAUUAUUAAUCUUCAACGAGGAAUUCCUAGUAAGCGUGAGUCAUCAGCUCACGUUGAUUACGUCCCUGCCCUUUGUACACACCGCCCGUCGCUUGUACCGAUUGGAUGGUCCGGUGAAAUCUUCGGAUCGCUGACAUGGCACUUGUGCCAUGUUGCGAAAAGUUGCUUAAACCUUAUCAUCUAGAGGAACAAGAAGUCGUAACA
Molecule: ribosomal RNA, 319 nt
Filed under: uncultured eukaryote
Lineage: Eukaryota
Description: partial 18S ribosomal RNA
Rfam family: Eukaryotic small subunit ribosomal RNA
Source: RNAcentral